CUAAUGUACAAAAAUUGCAGUUUGGUUUGGAAUGAGAUGACUGCAAUUCAAGAAUUAAGAUUAGAACUACUUGAUGCAUUACCAAUCACAAGUAGUCCUUCUCUCAAAGGCAUUUGGAUAACUAGUUGCAUCACUCAUGAUGUCACUACGUAUUCUUCGGUUUCUCCAAAGAUGAUGCGCAUUGUA
Long non-coding RNA from Ipomoea nil (Japanese morning glory), 186 nucleotides. RefSeq lists it as uncharacterized. The transcript is spliced from 2 exons. The record is from RefSeq and is a predicted model, not a curated record. NCBI's taxonomy places the organism in Eukaryota, Viridiplantae, Streptophyta, Magnoliopsida, Solanales, Convolvulaceae.